This 425-nucleotide ribosomal RNA is filed under the name uncultured bacterium. RNAcentral describes it as "bacterial SSU rRNA". It matches the Rfam family "Bacterial small subunit ribosomal RNA", at positions 359 to 776 of the family's 1533-position model. The record is from RNAcentral.
GAAUAUUGCACAAUGGGGGAAACCCUGAUGCAGCCAUGCCGCGUGUGUGAAGAAGGCCUUCGGGUUGUAAAGCACUUUCAGUGGUGAGGAAGGCUAGCGUGUUAAUAGCGCGCUAGAUUGACGUUAGCCACAGCAGAAGCACCGGCCAACUCCGUGCCAGCAGCCGCGGUAAUACGGAGGGUGCAAGCGUUAAUCGGAAUUACUGGGCGUAAAGCGUACGUAGGCGGCCCAUUAAGCAAGAUGUGAAAGCCCCGGGCUCAACCUGGGAAUGGCAUUUUGAACUGGUGGGCUAGAGUUUUGAAGAGGGUGGUAGAAUUUCCAGUGUAGCGGUGAAAUGCGUAGAUAUUGGAAGGAAUACCAGUGGCGAAGGCGGCCACCUGGUCAAAAACUGACGCUGAGGUACGAAAGCGUGGGGAGCAAACAGG